CGGACGUAGGUAACCUGCCUGGUAGCGGGGGGUAACUAUUGGAAACGAUAGCUAAUACCGCAUAAUAGCAGUUAUUGCAUGAUAACUGUUUGAAAGGUGCAAUUGCACCACUACCAGAUGGACCUGCGUUGUAUUAGCUAGUUGGUGGGGUAACGGCUCACCAAGGCGACGAUACAUAGCCGACCUGAGAGGGUGAUCGGCCACACUGGGACUGAGACACGGCCCAG
Molecule: ribosomal RNA, 227 nt
Filed under: uncultured bacterium
Lineage: Bacteria
Description: partial 16S ribosomal RNA
Rfam family: Bacterial small subunit ribosomal RNA
Source: RNAcentral